RNAcentral lists this long non-coding RNA (458 nucleotides) under Anser brachyrhynchus (Pink-footed goose). Its description in RNAcentral is "lncRNA (ENSABRG00000019678.1)". The record is from RNAcentral. Lineage: Eukaryota; Metazoa; Chordata; Aves; Anseriformes; Anatidae.
UCGGUUUUAAAAAAAAAUAAAAAAAUAAUAAAAAUAAAUAAAUAAAUAAAAUCCGAGCCAAUUAAAGCAGCCGUGCUCCGGCAGAGCCCUGCCUCCUGCCCAAUUCCCCGAGCCUCCCCGAGCCCCGGCCCAAUUAGAGGCGACACCGCAGGGCUGGGGAGGAAAGGGGCUCGCUCCGGGCGGAGAAAUCAGCCGCCAGCCCCGGGUCCCUCCGUCCUCAGGAUGCUCCCGGCAAGCCAAUCUAAGGCAACGCUUGCCAAGAAACCGUGGGCUUCACGCUCCGAGGUGUCCUUCCCAAAGAUGAUGGCACGGGGAAAGACCUUACAAAGGCGUCUGGUGUUACAGAGACAGAAGGAGACACUGCUGGUCCGACCUGUUCUAAUCAGAGCACAUUGUGAGGAGUAACCUCCAGUCCUGAUUUCUAAGAAGCCGAUAAUAAACCAUUCAUUUGUAUUUCA